CAAUCAACCUCCUGGAGCCUCAGUUUCUCAUCUUUGAAGAGGGAGUGUACUGAGAUUAUUCAGGGAUGGCUUCGGUUUCCGUUACUGAGGCUAAGGCCCAAGGUCCCGGCUCUCAGCACGUUUUGCUCAUGUAGCCCUUGAAGAAUUUUCAGAAAUGUGCCCAUGUCAGGUUUGCAUCUAAAAUCCUUUUGGAUUGGAAAGGGCACAUUUCUGGUGACGCAGCAGCACUCUCACGGGAUCCGCGGGCGAGGCCCUUCCGCCCGGGGCUCGUGGCAGCACAGGCCGUGUGUGGGGGCCUGGCCGGUGCCUGGGUCUGCCCCGGCUCUGCCAUUGCCUGCUGUGUGACCUGGGACUGCUCACGCCACUGCCCCGAGCCUUGGCUUCCUCAUCUUACAUGGCGGUGGCGAGAGCCCCUGACACAAGGCUGUGGCGAGUUUGAACCGGGCGCCUGGAGCAAGGCUUGGCGGGGGUUCACCAGACAGACAAAGGCGACCUGGCUGGGGAGCCAGUCCUUACUUUCAAAGCAGUUGGCAGAACCGGUCUGGCUUCUGUCAGAACUGUUAGGACGUCGGGAGGUGCUCAGUGACGACCCCUCCCUCUGGGUCCUCCUGCCCCGGCCGCUGGGCGUGGAUGAGGAGAAGGCCGGGCCCUGUGCGAACCUUCCGGGCACAGAAUCCGCUGGGCACAGAAUCUGCGACUUCCCCCCGCCGGAGCCCGGCCUUGCCCCGUGCUCUGUGACUGCUUCUGUGUUCGGGGCCCGAGGGUCAGGCAGGGAGAGCUGCACCUCAGGGAGGCUGGGCUGGGGACAGGGUUGGCCCCUCUUGGUGGCAGUCGGGUGGGAAGGGGACACAGUGGAGCCGGGGCCCUGGACUCAGCCAGAUCUACUUGGUGAGAGACUGCAUCUGGCAGUCAGGGAUCUGGAAGUGAAUCCCUUAAGCAACUGCACCACCGCAGCCACCUGGAAAAUCUUCGCAUGCCCGCAGUGUGGAGGUGUCCUAGACGCCAGGGCCCUUAAGCUUCUGUUCUCUCUGGGUGCCUCUGAUGCACACAUCCCGGCUCCCAGGACGAUCUUCCUGCCUGGCGCGGCUGCCUCCUCCACGCCACCCCUCAGUACCCGUGGUCUAGGGAGACUUCAGCAGUUCCCACUCCACACUGCCCAAACAGCUGCUAAAUAUCUGCUGAAGUAAGAGGAAAAGGUUCGUUAUCGUUGGUUAUUGCUUUGUUCACCUUCCAGCCUCCCUGUAGUGAGGGUCCUGUCCUGACAUAGUGAUCCCUGUGGCAAAUUCGAUUUUCCCCAAACGACCACAUCACCUUUCUACUUCCCGCACACAGGGAGAGCCUCUUCCUUCUUCCUUUGAAUCUCCUCACAGGGCUGCUGAGCUGACACAGCGUGAAGCUGAGGCUGGGUUGCGGAAGGUGCCACAGACUCCACCCGGGUUUCUCUCCUGUUUGACGUUCCUGGGAGCCCAGCCCCCAUGUCGUGAGGAAGCCCACGUCACCUGGAGAGGUCAUGGGCACAGCCACAGUCAGCCACAGCCACAGUGAGCCAUGCAUCAGUCCUGGGAGCCACCCUAGCUAACCCUGAGUGGAGCAGACGCAGGGUGUCCACUCCAAGCCUUGCCCAAAUUUCAACUUCAACUAAGUAAAUGUGGUUUUUUAAGCCACUGCAUUAUGUGGUUUUUUAAGCCGCUGAAUUAUGGGGUCAUUUGUCCCACUGUCGUAGGAACCAGAACGUGCUCCAAGGACCUGUCCCACUGUAAAGACUGGCAGUCGUAUGGCUUCUGUCUCCUGGACUCCUCCCAAGUCUGAACACCUUCCCAACGCCCACAGGUCGCAGCGUAUCUUGGGCAACACCAUCCCCUGCCCCAUCGAGCGGGCACCCGGCCUGUCUCUUGUUUCCUGGAGCUCGCUCAGAGAUAACAGAUUCAUCCGAUCCUCCAGGAAGCGCAGGAGUGGCCUGGCUCCCUGCCCUCCAGCUCUUAGCUCUGCGUCGCUCCUCGUGGGAGCCCUCCCUGCGACAUCUCCCGUUGCCUCUCAGCGCUGAGCUUAACACGGUGGCGUCACCUGGGAGGGCUGAGUCUUUCUGUCUCUUCUCCACCAGCCUCUGAGCUCCAUCAGGGCCCCAGGGCAGUGAUUGCUCCUGUCCUUCCAUAGUCCAGCGCCAAGCCCAGCCCUGCUCUGGGCCUGGACAGUGCUCAGGACAGGACAGUGUGGGAGCCAGCCCCUGGCCCUGACCCUGGCCCUCGGAGCCAGCGCUGUUGCUUCCUUACCUCACUGGAUGUUGCAGGAAUGGGUUAGAGAUCUGAGGAUUGCGGAGAGUUAGGGGUGAGGGGAGAAUGAACCAGUCAUGGGGGCCCCCAGUAUCUCUUAGUGAGCAGAGGGGGAAGGUGGCGCUGGCAGGAAGGAAGGACAGGUGCUGGCUGUGGGUUCCAGCCACUUCCGAGGUGCAGGCCUGGGGAGAGGAGGCAGGUGGGGCCCGCUCGGGGAUCCCCCGAAGAAGUUCUGACUCGGCUCUGCUCCAAUCUGCUCCUGCACAUUCCCCACGCCUGGCAGGCGCUUUUUCUUCUCUUUAAAAGGCACUCCCUGAGCCUGGUGGAAUGAGACAAGCAUGGAAAUCCCUGGGCUGCUCUCAGGGGUGGAAGAGGCUGGGCAUCCCGGCGGCUCAGGGUGGGACUCGGCCUGCAGAGCCGAGCAGGCGCCCUCUUUCCUCCUUUUCUUUUCCUUUUGUCCAUUUAAUUAUUAAAAUGUAAC
Long non-coding RNA from Rhinopithecus bieti (black snub-nosed monkey), 2751 nucleotides. The record is from Ensembl. NCBI's taxonomy places the organism in Eukaryota, Metazoa, Chordata, Mammalia, Primates, Cercopithecidae.